RNAcentral lists this long non-coding RNA (1267 nucleotides) under Gopherus agassizii (Agassiz's desert tortoise). Its description in RNAcentral is "lncRNA (ENSGAGG00000014497.1)". The record is from RNAcentral. Lineage: Eukaryota; Metazoa; Chordata; Testudines; Testudinidae.
GAGGGACUCGCUGGAGAAGUCCCAGCGAAGGCAGGAGACUGCAGCCAGGAAAAUCCCCACACAGGAGGGUCAGAGAUGUGCAUCUCUACCCAAGAGAGGUGACAGCUGAGGAGCUGGGAGCCUAGAGCAGGGACCCUUGCUGGAUCACAGAGCGGGAAAUAGAAGCGCAGGAGCUCCGAACUGAGAGGGGGCAGCAGGAAAAGGUGUGUGGAUGGUCCACAGAACAAGGGCCAGUGGCAUCUGUGGCCAUGGAGGCGAAUAGUUGGGCUGUGGAGGGGAAGAGCCUGAGACUGUGGUCACGUCAGAUUUCCUGUGGUGAGUGGCAGCCCAUGACUUCUCAGAAAUCAUGGGAUGGAGGGAGGGAGGGUUGGCCAAGGAUGAGCAACGCAACGUGUCAUGAGAUUGUCCAUCUCAUGGGACGGACAAAGCAGAAGGGUCAGUUACCCUUCUGGAGGGAGACCCGGCUGGUGCCUGAGCUCAGAACCCAGCUCCCAGCCCCACAGGGACCAGUUCAGCAUGGUGCUAACUCUCCUUCUGCCUGUGCUGGCCUCUCUCCUUCCCCGGCCGGUGUUCCCUGCAGCUAAACCCCCAGCUCCAGCCUUCUCCGUGCAUCCCCAGAAGGCUGAAUACCUGCUCGGAGACACCGUGGGCCUCACAUGCUCUGCUCCCCCUGCGAGGGAUCAGGUGUCGAUAUUCCAAUACUACAGCAGCAUGGGAUGGGCUGUUUCAGCCAAGGUGUCCUCCGGGCGGGAACACACCUACAACCUCAACAUCACGGAGCCACGGAGUGCGGGUUUGUACAGCUGUAACUAUUACAUAGGCCAGCCUGGUCGUUUCGUCCCGUCCUAUGAGAGCAACCGUAUCAACAUCAGAGUCAAAGACCCUCCUCCAGAGCCAACGCUGAGUGUGGAUCCCCUAUCUGGCGUGGUGAGCGAAGGGCACCCCCUACUCAUCACCUGCACAGCCCCUGGGAACGCCAGACAGCUGAGGUUUCACUUCUACCAGGAUGGAGCCGAGAUCGUCCCUGGGGACAUUGGGUCUGAGAUCCGCACCGCGGAGCCAAGGACCAGCUCUGUGACAGUGUCUGUGCUCAGCAUCCCGCAGGUUGACACCAACAACACUGGGGAAUACACCUGCCGGUAUGAGGAGAAAGAGAGCGGGAGAUGGAUCCUGUCCACCAGGAGCCAGGCUGUGACUGUUACCUUGAAAAGUGAGGCUGCCCUGGAGAAUAAAAUCCACCCCUACAUACAAUCACCACUUCCUACAG